UCUUUGUAUAACACUCUUUACCGUAAGGAAAAGGUUUUGCACCUUUCUACUGCGAAGAGCGGGCACAGCAGCUCAGUCAUUGACAUUUGGUGUCGCCGGAUAUUGUGCUACGGUUUUGCGGACGUGCAGACCAGGACAAGAACGGCGACGAUGGCAAGAGCAGGAUCCACGUAGCGAGGAAGCGGCCCAUCGCCGAAGUGCACGGCUACAGCGCACGCCAUGAGCAAGAGGCAUCCGCCACACGUACGAAGGGCCUCGGACGCACAUUCCUGCCAAUGCACUGAAUAAAAAGAAACAUUCAAUCAGGUCAGCUACGUACGGCCUGUGUGCCUCUCACCCGUUGUUCGUCCUCCCACAGCAGGGGGAAUAGGUAUCUGUUCUGGACUAAGCUGGCAGGCCUCCUCGGCAGUGUCGUCACCCAGCACAAAGUUGACUUGGACGUCGGUGCCACUAACUAUCCCCACGUUGCAGCCACGACGAUUCUUGUGCCCUGUAAUCAUUAUUGGACACACAUAUCUAUAUAAACCGACUCAGGUUUCGGUCAGGGCAAUCGUAAUGCAUAUCGCAGGUAUGCACGAUAGGGCGCACCUGACCCCACCCUAUCCCUCUUUUUUCUGCCUCGGCUAGUCCAACUAUUCUGUGCUUAUGGAAAUAGUCUCACUGUUACCAUUAUCGCAACUCCUUACAAUGCAGCGCAUUACACGUCGAAAAAUACUGCAAUUAUUACAGUUGUUACUCUUCGCUGUCGGGACACCAUCUGGAGUGGGGGACACCACAAGUCCACUAUGCUUACUGUUCACUAUGUCCACUAUGCAAGCUCACUAUGUUCCUGAAUGGCAUGCCUGAAACCUUGACGGAGACAACAAGGAUGCGAUGAUAUCCAGUUGGGCUGACUUACGAUUUGGUACUUGGUAUUUGAUGACCGAUUUUGAAUUCAGUGCACGUGUAACUUGUGUAUUGUUGUAAUAUUGUACUUCUAUUGCAGUUGUAUUUUCUUCUCUGUUCUCGCUUAUGUGCCCUAAAUUCGUUAAAUGUAAUGUCUAACUAAAUAAAUAAAUAUCUGAUAAGUUUUA
Long non-coding RNA from Ornithodoros turicata, 1073 nucleotides. RefSeq lists it as uncharacterized. NCBI's taxonomy places the organism in Eukaryota, Metazoa, Arthropoda, Arachnida, Ixodida, Argasidae. The transcript is spliced from 2 exons. The record is from RefSeq and is a predicted model, not a curated record.